AUUGAACGCUGGCGGCAGGCCUAACACAUGCAAGUCGCGCGGAUGAAGGGAGGUUGCUCCCGGAUUCAGCGGCGGACGGGUGCGUAAUGCCUAGGAAUCUGCCUGGUAGUGGGGGCUAACGUCCGGAAACGGGCGCUAAUCCCGCAUACGUCCUGUGGGAGAAAUUGGGGGAUCUCCGGACCUCCCGCUAUCAGAUCAGCCUAGGUCGGAUUAGCUAGCUGGUGGGGUAAAGGCCUACCAAGGCGACGAUCCGUAACUGGUCUGAGAGGAAGAUCAGUCACACAGGAUCUAAGAGACAGACCGGACACCUGCGGGAGGCAGGAAUGGGUGAGGAAGAACAGUGGACGGAAGUCUGAUCCAGCCAUGCAGCGUGUGUGAAGGAGGUCUGCGGUAUGUGUAGCAAUUUAAGUUGAGAGGGGGGGAAAGAAGUUAAUGCGUUGCUGUUUGGACGUAACCAACAGAUAAGGCACGGCCUAUCCUGUG
RNAcentral lists this ribosomal RNA (483 nucleotides) under uncultured bacterium. RNAcentral describes it as "partial 16S ribosomal RNA". It matches the Rfam family "Bacterial small subunit ribosomal RNA", at positions 29 to 507 of the family's 1533-position model. The record is from RNAcentral.